AGUGAACGCUGGCGGUAGGCCUAACACAUGCAAGUCGAACGGCAGCACAGUAAGAGCUUGCUCUUACGGGUGGCGAGUGGCGGACGGGUGAGGAAUACAUCGGAAUCUACUUUUUCGUGGGGGAUAACGUAGGGAAACUUACGCUAAUACCGCAUACGACCUACGGGUGAAAGCAGGGGAUCUUCGGACCUUGCGCGAUUGAAUGAGCCGAUGUCGGAUUAGCUGGUUGGUGGGGUAAAGGCCCACCAAGGCGACGAUCCGUAGCUGGUCUGAGAGGAUGAUCAGCCACACUGGAACUGAGACACGGUCCAGACUCCUACGGGAGGCAGCAGUGGGGAAUAUUGGACAAUGGGCGCAAGCCUGAUCCAGCCAUACCGCGUGGGUGAAGAAGGCCUUCGGGUUGUAAAGCCCUUUUGUUGGGAAAGAAAAGCAGCAGGUUAAUACCCCGCUGUUCUGACGGUACCCAAAGAAUAAGCACCGGCUAACUUCGUG
RNAcentral lists this ribosomal RNA (492 nucleotides) under uncultured bacterium. RNAcentral's name for it is "partial 16S ribosomal RNA". It matches the Rfam family "Bacterial small subunit ribosomal RNA", at positions 29 to 507 of the family's 1533-position model. The record is from RNAcentral.